Molecule: long non-coding RNA, 693 nt
Organism: Cygnus olor (mute swan)
Lineage: Eukaryota; Metazoa; Chordata; Aves; Anseriformes; Anatidae
Exons: 2
Source: RefSeq, a predicted model, not a curated record
AAGAAUCCCAAAGAACAGCACUCAACAUUCUUCAGAAUGGUUGUUAAAUCAAGGCUUGAAGGAUGCCCUGAGAAUUACAAGGCAAGAAGGCAUUGACUGGACACAGCAGAAACAGCACAAAGGGUGCAUCACUCCCUGUCUGAGAGGUGUGAGCUCAGGAGCCGUGUAUGAAAGCAGACAACACAGACUUGAACACAAGUUCUGCCUUUCUGCCAAAGGGGACUGGAAGUGAUCUGAAGUGCAAAAAGAGACAGAAACCACUGACUUCAGUGGAAUGUGAGGCAUGCUUUCCCCUUUGUUUUCCAGCAUGUUUGACUAUUACAAGAAAACAUUGUCUCCAGCUUUGAAUCUUUCCAACCAUAACAUCAGCCGAAGCUAAAAGGUGCUGAGCACUUUCUGAGAAGGUGCAGAGCUCCACUAAUUCCCAUUAAGGCUCUGUAACAAGAAAGGGGCAGCCUUCUGACACUGAAGCACGUUCGCAGCUUUCAAACUGUAAUGUUUCUGUGUCAUAAAGCUGCCCUGCUGGUACUAAAUCUAAUCACUACCACGUGCCCCAUCUCUCAUGUAAGCAUGUUUUGGAGAAUACUUUCUACAAUAGCUCAUCUGUGGAUUCAACCACAAAUGAAAUGUCUUGCUUAUGUUGCACUCCCUUUCCUGCCUGCCUGUGCAGAAUAAAGAGAAAAGUUUCUUCAG